Molecule: ribosomal RNA, 879 nt
Filed under: uncultured bacterium
Lineage: Bacteria
Description: bacterial SSU rRNA
Rfam family: Bacterial small subunit ribosomal RNA
Source: RNAcentral
ACAGGCUUAACACAUGCAAGUCGAGGGGAAACGACAUCGAAAGCUUGCUUUUGAUGGGCGUCGACCGGCGCACGGGUGAGUAACGCGUAUCCAACCUGCCCACCACUUGGGGAUAACCUUGCGAAAGUAAGACUAAUACCCAAUGACGUCUCUAGAAGACAUCUGAAAGAGAUUAAAGAUUUAUCGGUGAUGGAUGGGGAUGCGUCUGAUUAGCUUGUUGGCGGGGUAACGGCCCACCAAGGCAACGAUCAGUAGGGGUUCUGAGAGGAAGGUCCCCCACAUUGGAACUGAGACACGGUCCAAACUCCUACGGGAGGCAGCAGUGAGGAAUAUUGGUCAAUGGACGAGAGUCUGAACCAGCCAAGUAGCGUGCAGGAUGACGGCCCUAUGGGUUGUAAACUGCUUUUAUAAGGGAAUAAAGUGAGUCUCGUGAGGCUUUUUGCAUGUACCUUAUGAAUAAGGACCGGCUAAUUCCGUGCCAGCAGCCGCGGUAAUACGGAAGGUCCGGGCGUUAUCCGGAUUUAUUGGGUUUAAAGGGAGCGUAGGCCGGAGAUUAAGCGUGUUGUGAAAUGUAGACGCUCAACGUCUGCACUGCAGCGCGAACUGGUUUCCUUGAGUACGCACAAAGUGGGCGGAAUUCGUGGUGUAGCGGUGAAAUGCUUAGAUAUCACGAAGAACUCCGAUUGCGAAGGCAGCUCACUGGAGCGCAACUGACGCUGAAGCUCGAAAGUGCGGGUAUCGAACAGGAUUAGAUACCCUGGUAGUCCGCACGGUAAACGAUGGAUGCCCGCUGUUGGUCUGAAUAGGUCAGCGGCCAAGCGAAAGCAUUAAGCAUCCCACCUGGGGAGUACGCCGGCAACGGUGAAACUCAAAGGAAUU